Molecule: non-coding RNA, 303 nt
Organism: Pelobates cultripes (western spadefoot toad)
Lineage: Eukaryota; Metazoa; Chordata; Amphibia; Anura; Pelobatidae
Source: the annotation of a GenBank genome assembly
AUUUUAAAAGUUAUAUAAUAGACAACAAAAUCUCAGGAGUCUUACUGGGUUAGUCUGAAAAGCAACAGCUAGACGAAAAAAUAGUGUGUAAGUGGGUUGGUCUUAUACAGUAAUUGAUAGGAACACCACCCAAAGCUGCUAGGGGUCUAAUUCUUAAAUCUGUAAUGUGCAAAUGGUAAGAACUGGUUGGAAAUCAAUAGCAAUCUUAUUUGAUGCCUUAGUAAUCAUCAGAUUCUGCUGAGUGUAACCCUAAGGUCAGGAAGCAAACAGGAAAGGAGAUAAGGCUAUUAGAGUCUAUAACGG